This 782-nucleotide ribosomal RNA is filed under the name uncultured bacterium. RNAcentral's name for it is "bacterial SSU rRNA". It matches the Rfam family "Bacterial small subunit ribosomal RNA", at positions 8 to 796 of the family's 1533-position model. The record is from RNAcentral.
AGAGUUUGAUCCUGGCUCAGGAUGAACGCUAGCGGCAGGCUUAAUACAUGCAAGGCGAGGGGGCAGCAAUGUCACCGUCGUACGGGGUGCGUAACGCGUAUGCAACCUACCUAUCACUGGGGGAUAGCCCCGGGGAAACCCGGAUUGAUACCGCAUAAGACAGGGGUCCCGCAUGGGUACUAUUUGUUAAAGAUUUAUCGGUGGUAGAUGGGCAUGCGUUCGAUUAGCUAGUUGGUGCGGGUAACGGCCUACCAAGGCGACGAUCGAUAGGGGAGCUGAGAGGUUGAUCCCCCACACGGGCACUGAGAUACGGGCCCGACUCCUACGGGAGGCAGCAGUAGGGAAUAUUGGGCAAUGGAUGCAAGUCUGACCCAGCCAUGCCGCGUGCCGGAUGAAGGCCCUCAGGGUUGUAAACGGCUUUUAUUCGGGAAGAAGAGCGAGGGUGCGCCCUUGUGUGACGGUACCGAAUGAAUAAGCACCGGCUAACUCCGUGCCAGCAGCCGCGGUAAUACGGAGGGUGCGAGCGUUGUCCGGAUUUAUUGGGUUUAAAGGGUGCGUAGGUGGCUUUAUAAGUCAGUGGUGAAAUACAGCCGCUUAACGGUUGAGGUGCCAUUGAUACUGUAGAGCUUGAAACAAUUGGAGGCUGCCGGAAUGGAUGGUGUAGCGGUGAAAUGCAUAGAUAUCAUCCAGAACACCGAUUGCGAAGGCAGGUGGCUACGUUUGAUUUGACACUGAGGCACGAAAGCAUGGGGAGCAAACAGGAUUAGAUACCCUAGUAGUCC